AGAAUGAACGUUGGCGGCGUGGAUUAGGCAUGCAAGUCGUACGGGCCGCAAGGCCAGUGGCGCAAGGGUGAGUAAGGCGACGGUAACCAACCCCAUGACUGGGUAUAGCCGCGGGAAACCGCGGGUAAUCCCCAGCGACGUCCGGGGGGGGCAUCCCCCCGGGACCAAAGCUCCGGCGUCGUGGGACGGGCCGUCGUGGUAUUAGCUGGUUGGCGGGGUAACGGCCCACCAAGGCUGCGAUGCCUACCGGGCGUGCGAGCGUGGCCCGGCACACUGGGACUGAGACACUGCCCAGACUCCUACGGGAGGCUGCAGUCGAGAAUCUUCGGCAAUGGGCGCAAGCCUGACCGAGCGACGCCGCGUGGAGGACGAAGGCCUUCGGGUUGUAAACUCCUGUCGAGGGGGAAGAAGGCCCGAAAGGGGCUUGACUGAUCCCUGGAGGAAGCACGGGCUAAGUUCGCGCCAGCAGCCGC
This 473-nucleotide ribosomal RNA is filed under the name uncultured bacterium. Its description in RNAcentral is "SSU rRNA". It matches the Rfam family "Bacterial small subunit ribosomal RNA", at positions 26 to 518 of the family's 1533-position model. The record is from RNAcentral.